UUGUUGAACCAGGUGUUCUGGAGCCAUCGCCAAUGUCGCCAACUAUGUCAGCAUCUACACCAAUUUCUGAAUGUUUUGAAUCCAUUGUGCCGGAAUUAGAUGAUCAGAUAGAUAAUGAUCCAUUGCCAUCUACUCCAUCACCAUCUAGCUCAACAUUAUCUCCUGUUUUCUCAUUACAUGAUAUUAAGGAACCAGAUUCAAAUAAAGAGAUCAAAGUUGAUGAGACAUGAUUAUCUCCCACAAGACUAUGCAUUGACCGACCAUGAUCUAUGUGCACAUAUAGCAGUAGAAUCAUCUUUGAGUAAAGAAUUGCUGGUUCGGAUAGAUAGAAGUUAUGUGUUACAAAAUCAAUUGAUGUGCCUGCUAGAUGAAAAGGAGUGGGUAAAUGAUGAUGUGAUCUAUGCAUAUAUAUGUUGUUUAAAGGACUAAAUUCAUGUCCAGAAUGACAAUAAAGUAUAUGUUGAGAGUCCUUUUGUUACCUCACUAUUAAGACGGGAUGGUAACCUUGGCAUACAAGAAGAUAGUGCCUUUAUGACAAAUAUUGUCCAAAAAUAUAUGGAGUAUGACAUGAUAGAACUUCCAAUAAAUGCCAGCAACAUGCAUUGGUAUUUAGCUAUCGUGAAUACAAAAAAGCGUGAGAUUCAAGUACUGGACUCAUUGUGCUGGAAGUUUGUCCGAGAGGACCUUGCUAUUACGCUACGAGGAGUACAAUUUCAUUUGGAUAUUCUUAAAAGUCAAAACCUGAUUAAGGACGAUUGGAAAGACGUUGAUCUUACUGAAUGAAAGAUCACAGAACAAUUACAAACUCCAAUUCAAGAAGACAGUUUUCUUGUGGUUUAUUUACGGUCAAAUUUAUGGAAUAUUUCACCGGAUGUACACUAUCCUACCCAAUUACACAGGAAAUGAUUUUUGAGCCGUGCAUAUUGGGUUAGAGUUUGUGAUAUCCUCCCGUUGCAACGCACGG
Long non-coding RNA from Aegilops tauschii subsp. strangulata, 964 nucleotides. RefSeq lists it as uncharacterized. The record is from RefSeq and is a predicted model, not a curated record. Lineage: Eukaryota; Viridiplantae; Streptophyta; Magnoliopsida; Poales; Poaceae.